RNAcentral lists this long non-coding RNA (199 nucleotides) under Trifolium pratense (red clover). RNAcentral describes it as "long non-coding RNA (TPRA_LNC002169)". The record is from RNAcentral. Lineage: Eukaryota; Viridiplantae; Streptophyta; Magnoliopsida; Fabales; Fabaceae.
AUCUCUCUGAAGCUGCGAAAAAUCGAUCUGAUCUUACCCGAGUAGAUCCGUCCGAUCUGUCCGACCACCGAUCUGCCCGCAACCCGAUGAAACCGUACAUGAAAUCGGUCGGAGAUGGGUGUAGUUUUUCCUUCGAUGGUUAUCGUCGGUUUUGAUUUUUCCGACCCGAAUCCGACCAUACCCGCCUGAUGCCCACCCC